AACAGGAUUAGAUACCCUGGUAGUCCACGCCGUAAACGAUGUCAACUAGCCGUUGGGAUCCUUGAGAUCUUAGUGGCGCAGCUAACGCAUUAAGUUGACCGCCUGGGGAGUACGGCCGCAAGGUUAAAACUCAAAUGAAUUGACGGGGGCCCGCACAAGCGGUGGAGCAUGUGGUUUAAUUCGAUGCAACGCGAAGAACCUUACCUACUCUUGACAUCCACGGAAUUUGGCAGAGAUGCCUUAGUGCCUUCGGGAACCGUGAGACAGGUGCUGCAUGGCUGUCGUCAGCUCGUGUUGUGAAAUGUUGGGUUAAGUCCCGCAACGAGCGCAACCCUUAUCCUUUGUUGCCAGCGAUUCGGUCGGGAACUCAAAGGAGACUGCCGGUGAUAAACCGGAGGAAGGUGGGGAUGACGUCAAGUCAUCAUGGCCCUUACGAGUAGGGCUACACACGUGCUACAAUGGCGCAUACAAAGAGAAGCGACCUCGCGAGAGCAAGCGGACCUCAUAAAGUGCGUCGUAGUCCGGAUCGGAGUCUGCAACUCGACUCCGUGAAGUCGGAAUCGCUAGUAAUCGUGGACCAGAAUGCCACGGUGAAUACGUUCCCGGGCCUUGUACACACCGCCCGUCACACCAUGGGAGUGGGUUGCAAAAGAAGUAGGUAGCUUAACCUUCGGGAGGGCGCUUACCACUUUGUGAUUCAUGACUGGGGGUGAAGUCGUAACAAGGUAACC
This 731-nucleotide ribosomal RNA is filed under the name uncultured bacterium. RNAcentral's name for it is "bacterial SSU rRNA". It matches the Rfam family "Bacterial small subunit ribosomal RNA", at positions 771 to 1501 of the family's 1533-position model. The record is from RNAcentral.